GUGGGGUUUUCUCACAGGGCCAGCUGGGCACUGGACAGGGAGGCCUGCUGAUCUCCUCAGCCCACAGCUGUCCCGGCUGAGCCAGAUGCGCCAGCUCGGGAACCGUGGACCAAGUGUACUGGUCUGGGGAUGUCAGGAGCAGGGCCUGGUCCCCAGGGAGGGGCAGUCGGGAGGUUGACCGCUCUGCCACCUGCUCACAGGGCUCGCCGGCUGAUCGAGGCCUCACCCGGUGCUGGUGUCACAGCCUCUGCGCCCGGUCACAGGAGGCGGCAGGGCCGGCUGGGCCUGAUUUUUCUGGCGGGGGCGGGACACUGACCAAGCCCAUUGCAGGACAGACCUGUCUGCCCAGAUCCAGGCGACGGGGCCCUCUGACCAUUGUUCACUGCGUCCAGGUGCCCAGAGCUGUGGGGAGGCUGAGAAGCCGCCCAGCCAGUCCCACACCCUGGCCCUGGCACAGCCACCUCCUCCUGCUCUCAUGAGAAACCCGGCUGAGGGCCCAUGAGCUGUUGCCUGGUUCCAGGCCGGCUGCCCUGCUAGUGCCCACCCCGACCCCCUGCCUGCCCGUCUCUCUGCAGAUGCGGACAGGCAUGGUGUACCCCCCUGCCUGCCUCCUUCACUGCUGGGUGGAACUCGGGGCGCCCAGGAGCCGCCUCCUCAGGGCUGGCUCAUUUGAUGUCCCAGGCUGAGCUGCACACUAGGGGGAUGAGGUGACCGGUGGGCACCCAUCUCAGACACCCGGCUUCCCAGGUCCCGCGGCCCUCCCCUGGGGGCCCUGGCCAGCAGUUCACCAAGGCAGCAGCCCCGGGUGUGAGCAGGGGGUGACAGGGAUGGGGCUCCACAUCCUCCCGGCUCUGCUUCUGGGAUUCCCCCGGCUCCUGUCCACGGGCACGGCCUCCUGAGAGCCGCGUGGGGCGGGCAGGCAGCAUGGCCUCCUGGUGACCCACAUGCCCCCUCCUCACUGGGGCCGGGGAGCAGCCCCCACAGCCAGGAGGAGCAGGCCCUGGACCACAUGCCACAAGCUGGGGCCUGGCUCUGGCUGUGUGAGGUGUCUGUGACCUCAGGCAGAGCCUAUGCCAGCCUGGGCCUGUCUCCACCGGCAAGAGCUAUGCGGCAGGUCAGGGAGGCCGGGCCAGGGCCUCAGGUUGGCCUCCCUGUCAUCUGCCCUUCUAGGGACGUAGGCUGCUGCAUGGGAGAGCCAGCCUGGCCAGGCCCUGGGACUCAGCUCCACUGUCUCAGCUGACCUGGCGACCUGGCAGGUCAUAGGGGGGCGCUUGCCUCAGCUUCUGACUCUCGAGCAAUUCUGUUCUGCCUGAGCCCAUCAGCCCCAGAUCCCAGGGUGGGGCCGUCCCAAGGAUCUGCUCUCUUCCUCCCAUAGGUCUCCCGUCCUGUCCUCCGGGGCCAAGCCCCCACCUCCCUGCUCCUGUCCCUGGUCCCUCUGUUGCCCCCAUCCCCAGAAAGUCACCCAGGGCCUGCCUAUACUUGCCUUCACCUGAGGGAGCUGCCAGCCCUGGGCGUGUACGGGUCGGGGGCACCCUUUCAUCUGGAGCCAGGAUGGGGGGUGCUCGUCUGGCCUGGACUUGCCAGGCUGGCUGGAGACCCUGUUUGGUGUCCAGGUGCCGUCCUGGGGCCCAGCCUCUGAGGUGGCGGUGAGGCUUAGGGGUUGGCGGACUGUGAUUCUCCGAAUUUCAAGGCACUCAACAAGAUAGCCGAGGCCAGCUCACUCCGCUGGUCCCCACGUGCCACCGUCUCCCUCCGCAGGUCAUUUGUCAUCAUCCGUCCACGUGGGCCCAGGGCUCUGUCAACCCCCUGGAGAAGCCGCUUGAAAUGACAGCCAAGAACAGGGCCCCCACUGGCUCUUCUUGACCUCCAAGGCCCCCAGGUACCUAAGGCAGUAAACCCCCAACUCCCUGGAAGGGCCCACUGGGCGCUCACUUCGCUCCAGAGCCUCGCCUGGUUUCCGCUUCGGGAUCCGGUCACCCAACCCAGCUCUCCAGUUGCUGCUGUUUCUCGUGAGACUGUCAGAGUGAAGGGGUCCAAAGCUCCGACUUCCAGCCUCAGAAAUCCCAACUCAGGCAGGAUCAGCGAAGCGUCCCUCGCAGUGGCUGGAGGGAGAGCCAGGCGGGGCCCAGGCUGCCACUUAUCAGGGCUGUAAAUGCCACCCUGAGGCCCACGCCUGCCAACACUGCUCCCCACAAGACUAAGUCCUGCAGCCUCAGCCCAGAAGGACCCGCGCCUACCCCCACACGGAGGUCAUGUUCAGCCACACCCCAGUGAACCCUGGCGACCCACCCCACAGUGCCCUGCCCUCCCGUGCUCCUCUCUCCUGACCUCUGUGCACGCUGCUCCCUUGACAGAAGCGUCCCCCCUCCCUUGCUAUGCAGGAUUCAGAGGACAGCGUCUGUCCCCAGCUGCAGCACGGUAACGGGCACACACAUUAAGAUAGUAAGAGAUGUCCGCUGACGGCCACCAGCUUCCCAGCAGGCUCAGAGAAGUUACUGGAGUUGGAGCUGGGUGACAGCGUGCACAGGCCCAAGCAUGGGAUCCACCCAGUUCCUGGGAACUACGUCCCUCUGCGUUUCUGCCCAACAAGCUUCCCUUCAUGAAGCCCAUGAAACUGAACUCAUGCUGUGCGGCUGCAAUGUCUCGCUACUGUUAAGGAGGACAGUGAAGUAUUUUGGGAUACACAUUCGCUUUUAAUAAAAAAGAAAUUUCCUCCUACAA
RNAcentral lists this long non-coding RNA (2721 nucleotides) under Homo sapiens (human). RNAcentral's name for it is "HSALNT0117836". Lineage: Eukaryota; Metazoa; Chordata; Mammalia; Primates; Hominidae. The record is from RNAcentral.